RNAcentral lists this ribosomal RNA (460 nucleotides) under uncultured bacterium. Its description in RNAcentral is "partial 16S ribosomal RNA". It matches the Rfam family "Bacterial small subunit ribosomal RNA", at positions 338 to 795 of the family's 1533-position model. The record is from RNAcentral.
CCUACGGGAGACAGCAGUGAGGAAUAUUGGUCAAUGGACGAGAGUCUGAACCAGCCAAGUAGCGUGAAGGAUGACUGCCCUAUGGGUUGUAAACUUCUUUUAUAUGGGAAUAAAAUGUUACAAGUGUGGGAUUUUGUAAGUACAAUAUGAAUAAGGAUCGGCGAACUCCGUGCCAGCAGCCGUGUGAAUACGGGGGAUCCGGGCGUGAGCCGGAUUUAUUGGGUUUAAAGGGAGCGUAGGUGGAGUGUUAAGUCAGUUGUGAAAGUUUGCGGCUCAACCGUAAAAUUGCAGUUGAAACUGGCAGUCUUGAGUACAGUAGAGGUGGGCGGAAUUCGUGGUGUAGCGGUGAAAUGCUUAGGUAUCACGAAGAACUCCGAUUGCGAAGGCAGCUCACUGGACUGCAACUGACACUGAGGCUCGAAAGUGUGGGUAUCAAACAGGAUUAGAUACCCGUGUAGUC